RNAcentral lists this unclassified non-coding RNA (148 nucleotides) under uncultured Mortierellomycotina. RNAcentral describes it as "sequence contains ITS1". Lineage: Eukaryota; Fungi; Mortierellomycota. The record is from RNAcentral.
UAAUAAGUGUUUUACUGCACUUUUUAAAAACAGUAUUCACCUUGUGUGCAACGUUUGUAUCAAAAAGUCAUUUUUGAUGCCUACAACAACCUAUUAUUUUUAAUCUCUUUUGUCUGAAAACCAUUUACGAAUAACUUAAUUCGAAAUA